This 92-nucleotide transfer RNA is filed under the name Malawimonas californiana (nom. ined.). RNAcentral describes it as "Malawimonas californiana tRNA-Ser". It matches the Rfam family "tRNA". Rfam says of the family: Transfer RNA (tRNA) molecules are approximately 80 nucleotides in length. Their secondary structure includes four short double-helical elements and three loops (D, anti-codon, and T loops). The record is from RNAcentral. Lineage: Eukaryota; Malawimonada; Malawimonadea; Malawimonadida; Malawimonadidae.
GGGUGAAUGUCUGAGUGGCUUAAAGAAGCAGUUUUGAAAACUGUAGUGUUUUUAUUUUAACAACACCGUGGGUUCGAAUCCCUCUUCACCUG